CCUCCCACAAUAUAAUCCAACUCAGUCCAAAUGCUCAUCAACAAUGGAGCAAUUUACUCAAAACAAGGCGACACAACCACCAUAAAUUCAGUAACAUUAGAUUGUAGCACUAUUGAAACGCAGGUAUAUGUAACUUCUAACCUCUUAACAAACAUCACAUUCAAGUUCAAUAUCCAACUCUAUGAUUUUUUUUGUGUUUAUAAUGAGGAAUUAGUCAAGUAAUCAAGGGAACACAUACAACAGCAAAAUUUCAUGAAGAAUUCUCACAUUCAAUUCUUUCAAAUAAUGGCAAAUGAAGCCUAUAAUGCAUUUUCGCUGAAAACUGUGGCCAUCCAAAUAUUUCUGAAUAAAUCUAUCUAUGCAGUUGCAUUGGCCAAUUCCUUGACCUGUACAAUCUUCUGUGGCUGUAGGCAAAGAAGAAAAGUGCAUAUUUUAACAUCUUCAAUAUAAGAAUCAAGGGAAAAAAAUAAAUAAAUAAAACUCAACUGUGUGUUUUAUUAGUUCAUUUUUCCUCGAGAACAAAUGUAAAAAUUUACUGUUUUGAUAAGAUUUAAACCGUAAAUACAUUAUUUAUUAACUGAACAUUUCACAUUGGUUGUGAUUUUAUCAUCAUAUAUGUAAAUUAAUCCUAAAAUAGAGAUUAAUUUAUGCAGAUGAGUGAUACUUCGAGGAUAUAGAAAUUUAAUAUCUUUCAUCUUGAUAAUUUAAAUCAUAUCCCAAAGCCAACGAAAAUGCACUUCACAUCAAAUAAAUGCAUGACCAUGAUGCACUGGAAAUAUAAUGAACAUUCAAGAACAUAUUCUGAUUCUACUUUAAAAACAAAGAACCCCAAAAAAAGAUAUGAAGAUCACUUUAUUGAGUAUUUUGCAAUGUGAAACUAGGAAAUGGGGCUCAUGCCAUAUGGAACAUCCGCAGCAUUAAUGAACAUCUUGUAAAUCCUUGUGUCAACCACAAUUAUAUCAACCUCUUACCGCUGCUAAUUCCUGCUCAUGCUUUGGAAUGAAAGCAGUGUCAACCUUGCCAUUUCUGAAGUCCUGUGUACAAUAUACAAAGAAAGAUAAGAUCACAGAACAACGCCUCAACUCAACCUAAACUACAUGGUUUUCUUAAUUAAAGGUACAAAUGCUUUUCAUACCUCAAUGUCAAGGAUAAGUUUAUGAUAGUCGAUGGUUGUAGGAACUCCUGGAGUGAGAAAGAGUAAGAGAUCAAACAAUACUAAAGGUAUCAAGCACAAAUUAAAUUUGAUAUAAGAGUUUACUGUCUUUAAGGCUCUAUUUGUUUCACGGAGUCUAUUUUCCAAGCAAAACGCUUUGAGAAAAUGACUCAUUUUCUGUUUUGAUGCAAAAAAAAUUAGUCAAAAAAAUCUAGCCUUAAUUAGUUCCUGUAAUUAAGUACGAUCAGCUGUGAUUAUGUGUCUAUUAGUUAGGCUAGAAUCUAUAAUCUUCCUCUUUUGUAUUUUGUAAAUCUUAUAAAUUCCCAAUCAAGCUUGAGGGAAAUAAUCAAGCUUUUCUCUCACAAAAUACUAUCUUUUCUUUCACUUUCUUCAAUAGUGAAUGCAUUGCUACCACCCCAAUAGAGUACUAAUAAAAGGCCAUUGGGAAGGGGAGCUCAUCAAAAUUCUUGCACUUACCUGUAAUAAUAGUGUCAUCCAGUGCUCUUUUCAUGCGUUCAAUUGCCUUUUCUCGAGUCGGAGCCCACACGAUAAGCUACAAUAAGUUGUCAAAUUAGCACAAUAACUAGAAUUGUGUUAAAGCCAACCGUUUUCAAUUCAGAUAAGCAGUGAUACAUGCAUUGUAGCUUUCAAGAAUAGGUUACAAGACACCUAUCAACAAUGUCAAGGUGGAAAGAAAAAGAAUUUAAAACCACUAAAUCAUGUACACAUUUAGACACCUAUGUCCUCAACAAAUGCAAAGAAUAGCUUAAGCGACAAAUCAAAUAAUCAAAUCAUUGAUGUUAACAAGAGCCACAACUUGUUCUGAUACCUACAAUUACAUUAUUUUAAUUAUUUGAUAUUUUGUUUCAUAUUUGGAUGUCCAAAAACCUUAAUUCUUACUUACUAGAAGACCUGCAUAACCUUCAAGAUUUAAAAUAAAUUAGCUUUUACUAAUUCAUAACUUCAAUAAAUCUCGCCUUCCAGAUUUUAGGUCCUUCGGGUACAGUUGUAAUCCCCCAUGUGCAUGAAGAUAGUAGGAAAUGCUAAAGCCACAAAUACAAAAGCUCAAGAUAUUAGGUAGAGACUCAAACCAUGAAAAGCCGUGCAAAACUUUACUCUUGAUUAAUAAGUGAUCAGUCACAUGUUCACCCCAUCAUAUACAAGUCAAACUUGAUUAAUAAGGGAUCAGUCACAUGCUCACCCCAUCAUAUUCGAGUCAAACUAAUGGCCAACAUUGACAACAAAUGGGUAUUCUAACAACAAUAAUAAAACCUACAUAACAGCAGCUGGCUGCCUGGCUCUAACAAAAAGCUGAAAAGCCAACCCAGAUAUCAAUAUAUCAUAGAAUACUAUGAGGGAGCCAGAUAGCACAACAGUCCACACAAAACCUCAUGCUUAUCCAAUACUGGAUUCAUCAAGAACAGUGACACUAUUUGGUCCACUAGAACAAACUUAUGAUGACAAGUGAACAAUAAAGCCAAGUUUUUAUUUCACCCUACCACCAGUAAAACAAGUGUGCCUAAAUACCUGUAAAGUACAUUGGGAGAAAGGAAAAGAAAUAACAGUGGCCAAACCAUAAAAAGAAGUGGCUCAGUUAUGUCUGUAUAAUGAGUACAUGCACACAUUAUCAUUAAUUCACAUGCAAACCACAAAGGAAAUUCUAGAAGAUAGCAAGUAUAUAUAUUCAUAUGAAUCCUUAAGAAUAAUGAUGACAUAUGGCUCAUGCAUCCAUCUUGCUGCAGCCAAAAACUUCAACAGAAGCAAGAAGUUUGACAAACCUUUCCCAGUAGGGAAUCAUAGCUUGGUGGAACCACAUAAUCAGGAUAAACAUGGCUAUCCAUUCUGACAAACGGGCCUCCAGAAGGCAAAUAUGAUGUUAUCCUUCCUGUUGUUCAAAAUGAGAAGUGGAUGAAUAUUUAGGAGAAACUGAAUAUAUUAUCCUAUUGUGUCCCAUUUCCUUCAUUUUCGUUGUUUUGAAAGGAUACCUAUGCAAGUGAGAGUAAUCAAAAAAGCUUAAUAAAUGAACAUCAAAAAACUUCAACAAAAGGCACAGGUAAAUUGUGAUGAAGCAGCCACCAAACAGGUAAAAUUAGAAAAGGCAACAAACCCCAAGGCUUCAUCAACUUAUCACUUGACUGCAUUCCCAUACAGAAGGGUAAAAUAAAUGUCAAAUGGAAAAUGAAAAAUUUAUCCAUAGACUGAUGGGAUUUGAUGAGUAAAACUAAUCAUAAUGGGAUAAGAAUACCUUUAAGCCGAAAACAAGGCACUCAAGAGGAACAAAUAGCAACAAUUAGAUUGCAUAAACAUAAAAGACAGGACAAGCAACAUUGUAGACAUACCUGGCCCAGGUCGGAAUCCCUUAAAAGCAUCUUCUGCAUUGAUACGGCAUUCGAUUGAAUGUCCUCUUAGCACAAUAUCUUCCUGUUUGUAGCGGAGCUUUUCUCCCAAGGCUACACGAAUUUGUUCCUCAAUCAAAUCAACAGAGGAAAUCAUUUCAGUUACCGGAUGUUCAACCUGGAUUCGAGUGUUCAUUUCCAUGAAGUAGAAGGAACCCCUUUCAUCCAAAAGGAACUCAACUGUUCCAACACCAAUAUACCCUAUAGAUGCUGCUGCUGCAACUGCAGCAUCACCCAUAGCUUUCCGCAACUCAGGGGUCAAUGCAGGAGAAGGUGCCUCUUCAAGCAGCUUUUGAUUGCGUCUCUGGAUGCUGCAGUCACGCUCACCAAAGUGGACAACAUUUCCAUAUUUAUCUGCAAGAACCUGGAACUCAAUAUGCCUUGGAUUUUGAAUGUACUUCUCCAGAUAAACUCCAUCAUUUCCAAAUGCUGCAGCUGCCUCACUCUUAGCUUGCUGUAGCAAUUUCACAAACUCAUCAGGUUCUUUAGCAAGGCGCAUUCCACGUCCUCCACCACCUGCUGUUGCCUUGAUCAUCACAGGAAAUCCAAUCUCGUGAGCAAGCUUCAGUGCUUCCUCUGUACUCUGUAGCAACCCAUCACUCCCAGGCACAGUUGGAACACCUGCAUUCUUCAUUGUUUCUCUAGCAGUUGAUUUGUCACCCAUGACUCGGAUACUGUCAGGAUUAGGCCCAAUAAAGUUGAUCCCAUGUUCCCUGCACAUUUCAACAAAUACUGCAUUCUCAGCAAGGAAACCAUAUCCAGGGUGCAACAUUGUACAUCCACGACUUAUAGCAGCCGAUAAAACAUUUGGAAUCAAUAAGUACGACUGACUGCUUGGUGCUUCACCUAUGCAAACUGAUUCAUCAGCCAAUUUGACAUGAAGUGCAUCCUUGUCUAUGGUUGAGUAAACAGCAACACAAGGUAUACCCAGCUCGUGCGCAGUUCGGAUAACACGAACAGCAAUUUCUCCUCUAUUUGCAAUUAAAAUUUUAUCAGCACGGCAUGUAGCCCCAAGCGCACCUACACCAGUUUUUUUAGCUUUAUAGCUAACUUGGGCAGCCCGAACUCCUUGUCUUGGAAAAUUAAUCCUACUUCCCACCAUAAAGCUACAUUGGGAACUCCCAAUUCCUCUAGUCCUCCCCAUGAAUAAGCCAGGAGUUGUUGAAGUAACAACAGAUUUGCACACUGGCAAUGUAGCCUCCAUUGUUGAAAACCAAAUUGCCAGAAACCAAGAUCUCAAGGAGAGUAAAGAAAGAGAUUGGAGAAGAAGAGUGAAGACUUGGGCUUUAUUAAGGUUUAAGAGGGGAAGGAAAAGGGCCGAUAGAAACGAGGAGAGGGUAACAUUGAAUGCUCCGCCUGAUUUGGUUGGCAAACUUACCUGCUUCUGCUCGACUUUAUCUACGGUUCUCUCUCUGCAGUUU
RNAcentral lists this unclassified non-coding RNA (4970 nucleotides) under Hevea brasiliensis (rubber tree). Lineage: Eukaryota; Viridiplantae; Streptophyta; Magnoliopsida; Malpighiales; Euphorbiaceae. The record is from RNAcentral.